GGGAGCUCGGCGAGCACGAGUGAAAGCUUUGUCCUCCGGCAAAGACGGAGGAGUAGCGAACAACGACUGAGGAAAAGUUCGGCUGACGUCGACCACCGCCAUCUCAAAAUCGUCAUCGUUCUUGCCGUCAUCGAAAGGAACGUGAGACCAGCACAAAAAGGGGUCUUCGUUUUCCAUAUCCAUCAAAGGAGUCAUGACGGGCCUUUCAUCACUGUCAGUGCUUGACCAAGAAAGGCGAUGUAAUCGCCUGUUGGAAUCAGGGCUAGGUGUUCGCAAGAUGGUGAUGUCCGCAUCGGUGGUCAUCGACUCAUUAUGGACCCCUCAUUUGCAAGUGAUCCUACUUCCAUGACCUCAUGCCUUUGGAGCUCUCUCUCAGUUUCGGGAACCUCACAAACAGUGAAAAGGCCACAUUGGGAAGGCUCUUUCAUCGCAAUAUAGCGGCCCAGCUUUUUGGUGGCCUCCUUAGGUGGGUGUGGUGCAGGGCGGAGGGGAGCCGAAAGGGAGAGAGAAGAUGACUGGAAAAGGAAGGUGGCAAUGUUGGUAGAGGUUUCCUCGGGAUAUGAAGAGGAGAAAAUGGAGGACAUAUUGCGGUUGCUAUUGGUAUGACUAUACCUUUGAUUAGACUGAAAGGGAUGCAAUGGGGAGAACCAAAGCGAUUGAUGACGUGAGAAUUUGAGCUGAGAUGAUGGUACACAGUAGAGUUGCGUAAGAUUAUAGUCGACUAUGCAAUCGCUUGUGAGAGCAG
This 745-nucleotide small RNA is filed under the name Cryptococcus neoformans H99. RNAcentral describes it as "Cryptococcus neoformans var. grubii H99 hypothetical RNA". Lineage: Eukaryota; Fungi; Basidiomycota; Tremellomycetes; Tremellales; Cryptococcaceae. The record is from RNAcentral.